UCUCGGGGGGCCUAUACAUGCAGUCGAACGAGUUUGCUUUUAAUGAAGGCGGUGCUUGCACCAACUGAUUUAAAAAUAAACGAGUGGCGGACGGGUGAGUAACACGUGGGUAACCUACCCUAAAGUGGGGGAUAACAUUUGGAAACAGAUGCUAAUACCGCAUAAUAUUAAAAACCACAUGGUUUUUAAUUGAAAGACGGCGUAAGCUGUCACUUUUGGAUGGACCCGCGGCGUAUUAGCUAGUUGGUGAGGUAACGGCUCACCAAGGCGAUGAUACGUAGCCGACCUGAGAGGGUGAUCGGCCACAUUGGGACUGAGACACGGCCCAAACUCCUACGGGAGGCAGCAGUAGGGAAUCUUCCACAAUGGACGAAAGUCUGAUGGAGCAACGCCGCGUGAGUGAAGAAGGUUUUCGGAUCGUAAAACUCUGUUAUUGGAGAAGAACGUAUUUGGUAGUAACUGGCCAGAUAGUGACGGUAUCCAAUCAGAAAGCCACGGCUAACUACGUGCCAGCAGCCGCGGUAAUACGUAGGUGGCAAGCGUUGUCCGGAUUUAUUGGGCGUAAAGCGAGUGCAGGCGGUUUUUUAAGUCUGAUGUGAAAGCCUUCGGCUUAACCGAAGAAAUGCAUUGGAAACUGGGAAACUUGAGUGCAGAAGAGGAGAGUGGAACUCCAUGUGUAGCGGUGAAAUGCGUAGAUAUAUGGAAGAACACCAGUGGCGAAGGCGGCUCUCUGGUCUGUAACUGACGCUGAGGCUCGAAAGCGUGGGUAGCAAACAGGAUUAGAUACCCUGGUAGUCCACGCCGUAAACGAUGAGUGCUAAGUGUUGGAGGGUUUCCGCCCUUCAGUGCUGCAGCUAACGCAUUAAGCACUCCGCCUGGGGAGUACGACCGCAAGGUUGAAACUCAAAGGAAUUGACGGGGGCCCGCACAAGCGGUGGAGCAUGUGUUUAAUUCGAAGCAACGCGAGAACCUUACCAGGUCUGACAUCUAGCGCAAUCUAGAGAUAGACGUUCCCUUCGGGACGCUAAGACAG
This 1033-nucleotide ribosomal RNA is filed under the name Lapidilactobacillus dextrinicus. Its description in RNAcentral is "bacterial SSU rRNA". It matches the Rfam family "Bacterial small subunit ribosomal RNA", at positions 37 to 1037 of the family's 1533-position model. The record is from RNAcentral. Lineage: Bacteria; Bacillati; Bacillota; Bacilli; Lactobacillales; Lactobacillaceae.